GAUGAAUGCUGGCGGCGUGCCUAAUACAUGCAAGUCGAGCGAACAGACGAUGAGCUUGCUCCUUUGACGUUAGCGGCGGACGGGUGAGUAACACGUGGAUAACCUACCUCUAAUACUGGGAUAACUUCGGGAAACCGGAGCUAAUACCGGAUAAUAUAUUGAACCGCAUGGUUCAAUAGUGAAAGACGGUUUUGCUGUCACUUAUAGAUGGAUCCGCGUCGCAUUAGCUAGUUGGUAAGGUAACGGCUUACCAAGGCAACGAUGCGUAGCCGACCCGAGAGGGUGAUCGGCCACACUGGAACUGAGACACGGUCCAGACUCCUACGGGAGGCAGCAGUAGGGAAUCUUCGGCAAUGGGCGAAAGCCUGACGGAGCAACGCCGCGUGAGUGAUGAAGGUCUUCGGAUCGUAAAACUCUGUUAUUAGGGAAGAACAAAUGUGUAAGUAACCAUGCACGUCUUGACGGUACCUAAUCAGAAAGCAACGGCUAACUACGUG
RNAcentral lists this ribosomal RNA (497 nucleotides) under uncultured bacterium. RNAcentral's name for it is "partial 16S ribosomal RNA". It matches the Rfam family "Bacterial small subunit ribosomal RNA", at positions 28 to 507 of the family's 1533-position model. The record is from RNAcentral.